AGGACGCCGCCGAGGAGGCCCCGGCUGUGGGCGCGGACGCCGACACCAACGUCAGCGGGUCCUUCGUCCAGAUGCCCCAUAGACACGGGGUGUUCAUCAACCACGGGUAGACGCAGACGAAGAUGCGAGGGAGAAGACGCAAGCAGGUCAGGAAGACCACAUCCACGAUGCAGUGGGAAAUGUAGAAGCUUGGAAUUAGUAGCGUCUCAAAGAAAAAAGAAAGGAAAAAAAA
Molecule: non-coding RNA, 232 nt
Organism: Penaeus vannamei (Pacific white shrimp)
Lineage: Eukaryota; Metazoa; Arthropoda; Malacostraca; Decapoda; Penaeidae
Source: RefSeq, a predicted model, not a curated record